Molecule: ribosomal RNA, 392 nt
Filed under: Dactylopsila trivirgata (striped possum)
Lineage: Eukaryota; Metazoa; Chordata; Mammalia; Diprotodontia; Petauridae
Description: partial 12S ribosomal RNA
Rfam family: Bacterial small subunit ribosomal RNA
Source: RNAcentral
GCUCAGCCCUAAACUUUGAUAAUCAAAUAACAAGAUUAUUCGCCAGAGAACUACUAGCAAACGCUUAAAACUCAAAGGACUUGGCGGUGCCCUAAACCCACCUAGAGGAGCCUGUUCUAUAAUCGAUAAACCCCGAUAGACCUUACCCCUUUUUGCCAAUACAGCCUAUAUACCGCCAUCGUCAGCUCACCUCAUUAGAGAAUUAAAGUAAGCAAAAAUAUUUAUCAUAAAAACGUUAGGUCAAGGUGUAGCAUAUAAAGAGGAAAGCAAUGGGCUACAUUUUCUAGCAUAGAACAUAAACGAAAUAUCUCUUGAAACCUGAAAUAUGCGAAGGAGGAUUUAGUAGUAAAUUAAGAAUAGAGAGCUUAAUUGAAUUAGGCAAUAGGGCGCGC